This 410-nucleotide ribosomal RNA is filed under the name Clostridioides difficile. RNAcentral describes it as "bacterial LSU rRNA". It matches the Rfam family "Bacterial large subunit ribosomal RNA", at positions 333 to 745 of the family's 2925-position model. The record is from RNAcentral. Lineage: Bacteria; Bacillati; Bacillota; Clostridia; Peptostreptococcales; Peptostreptococcaceae.
UGAAGAGGUUUGGAAAGACCAACCACAGAAGGUAAUAGUCCUGUAUGUUAAACGAGAAGACUUUAGAUAUGAUCCAGAGUACCACGGGACACGUGAAACCCUGUGGGAAGCAGGAGGGACCACCCUCAAAGGCUAAAUACUACCUAGUGACCGAUAGCGUAUAGUACCGUGAGGGAAAGGGGAAAAGAACCCCGGGAGGGGAGUGAAAUAGAACCUGAAACCCUGCACUUACAAGCUGUGGAAGCACAUUUCUUGUGUGACCGCGUACUUUUUGUAGAACGGGCCAACGAGUUACGUUAAGUAGCAAGGUUAAGCACUUAAGGUGCGGAGCCGUAGCGAAAGCGAGUUUUAACUGAGCGUUCAGUUACUUGACGUAGACCCGAAACCGGGCGACCUACCCAUGAGCAGGA